CUUGAUGCUGAAAGUGGCCCACCAGCCUCCAUAUAUACAGCCCCAUUGUUCUCCUAGACAAGGCCAUGAACUGGCAAAACAAGAGAUUCGAGUGAGGGUUGAAAAGGAUCCAGAACUUGGAUUUAGCAUAUCAGGUGGUGUCGGGGGUAGAGGAAACCCAUUCAGACCUGAUGAUGAUGUAAGUUUUCUUUGUAUAUUCUUGAAACACCUAUAAAGUUUUAUUUACCGAUUGAAUACUUAAAUGUAAGUGAAAAUCUAAUAGAUGUUUAUGUAAAUCUAGGUAGACAUCACCUUGAUUCCCCACUCUAUCGCUUACCUUUUUGUUUUGUAAUUUGAUCAGUUCAAGUUAAAACAAUUUAACCAAAAA
Molecule: small RNA, 367 nt
Filed under: Pongo abelii (Sumatran orangutan)
Lineage: Eukaryota; Metazoa; Chordata; Mammalia; Primates; Hominidae
Description: retained intron
Source: RNAcentral